RNAcentral lists this ribosomal RNA (460 nucleotides) under uncultured bacterium. RNAcentral describes it as "partial 16S ribosomal RNA". It matches the Rfam family "Bacterial small subunit ribosomal RNA", at positions 338 to 795 of the family's 1533-position model. The record is from RNAcentral.
CCUACGGGCGGCAGCAGUGAGGGAUAUUGGUCAAUGGACGCAAGUCUGAACCAGCCAUGCCGCGUGCAGGAAGACGGCUCUAUGAGUUGUAAACUGCUUUUGUACGGGGGUAAAUGCCGAUACGUGUAUCGGGUUGAAAGUAUAGUACGAAUAAGGAUCGGGUAACUCCGUGCCAGAGGCCGCGGUAAUACGGAGGAUUCAAGCGUGAUCCGGAUUUAUUGGGGUUAAAGGGUGCGUAGGCGGGUGGAUAAGUUAGAGGUGAAAUCCGGGGGCUCAACUCCGGGACUGCUUUGGAGACUGUCGGGCUAGAGUUUAGGUGCGGCAGGCGGAAUGCAUGGUGUAGCGGUGAAAUGCAUAGAGAUCAGACAGAACACCGAUUGCGAAGGCAGCUUACCAAACUACGACUGACGUUGAGGCACGAAAGCGUGGGGAGCAAACAGGAUUAGAUACCCUAGUAGUC